This 9241-nucleotide long non-coding RNA is filed under the name Vigna radiata. RNAcentral's name for it is "long non-coding RNA (VRAD_LNC010582)". The record is from RNAcentral. Lineage: Eukaryota; Viridiplantae; Streptophyta; Magnoliopsida; Fabales; Fabaceae.
UUUGUCUUCCACUGGAAUAGCUGAGGUACAUGUAUCCUUGACACUUGCAACUGAAAUGCUUUGCUUCUCCUUUAUUAUUUGUUCAGCAUCCAAGGUAGCACACAUAUUUCUGCCAUUUAUUAUAACAGAACCAGAUUCAUCAGUGUUCCUCAGUUGGCCAGAAUCAUGUUUUGCUGGAUAGUUAAAUUUUUCAAAGAGUUUGGCCUCAGGAUCAUCUUACCUUGCUUUUGAGGUAGAAGAUUGAGGCAUAUUCUUUUGAGAAGUGUCUUUAUCUUGGGAAGCAGUACUGGCAACAGGAAAGGUUGUGCCCUCUUGGUCUUCCUUCACUGGAGAUUUUGGACCUGAGCCACACAGUGCAUAUUGAGGUACAUUUGCAAAUACUGUCUGCAUAAAUUUCCUCGCAUAAUAAUUCAGAACAAGAAAAAAGUCACCUUUUACAGUGAAAUGCAUACAAAUCUACAAAUUGCUUAACCUUGAAAUGAUAUGGUGGGCUAAAUAUAGGAAUGAGAUAAAAAAAGUUUCACAAAAUACAGUAAAAGAUCAUAACCUAAGUGACUCUUUGUCAGAGUAAAACAAGGAUUUAGUUGUUAAAACAGAAAAACUUAAAACUGUGUAUUUAACUUCUAAUGUACAAUAGUUUCUACAUAGUAAAGAGAAACGUGACCAUAUAUUGGUAUACGACAAUGAACUUUUAGUUAAUGUCAUCACACUACAGCUGUACACGGAUGCCAACCUUUAUUUUAAGGUCAUCUAGUAUGACUUUCAAUCAUAAUCUUCCACAACCUUGAGUAAGGGUUUGAAAUUCAACUAAUGCACUAGAAAGAGAUAAUUUAUCUUAUUUUUUAUUUCUCCACAUUGCUAGACUUUCUCUAAAAGAUAUACACUACCAAGAGGUAGAUUUUUGUCAGCAUCAAAACAAGUACAUCAAGAACAUAUUUUUUGUGGGAGAUGAAAAUUCUUCAGGGGAACUUAGUGUAUUAAUUGUUUAUGUAGAUGAUAUAGUUGUAACUUGAAAUGAUUAGACAGCAGGAAUGGAAGUCUUAAAAUGUUUGACAAUAAAAUUUUUAAAUUAAAGAGUUAGGCAUAAUGAAAUAUUUCUUGGGUAUUGAAAUGGCUCAUUCCCAUCAUGGUAUUUUCAACUCCCAACAAAAAUGUGCUAGAAUUAUUGGAUGAAACUGGUAAAUUAGGAUGCAAACCAGUAGAGACACAUAUUGCACAAAAUCACGAACUUAGUGUAUCAAUUGAAGAUGUAGCUGUGGAUACACAAUCUUAUCAAAGGCCAGUUGGAAAAUUGAUUGUCUUACCCAAAGCCCAACAUUACCUAUGAUAUAUUGGUUGUAAGUCUGUUCAUGCAAUUCAAAGGAGAUUCAGCUCAGAGUUGUAUAACAUUUUCCAGUACUUGGAACUGGAAAAGGAAUUCUAUUUAUAAAGGGAAAUGAGAUGAUCUUGGAAGCCUACACAGAUGUUGAUUAUGCAGGUUCUAUAGAAGACAAAAAGAUCUACAUCCUGAUAUUGCACUUCUCUUGGAGGAAAUUUGGUUAUUUGGGAGAGCAAGAAACAAAAUAUUGAGACAAGAUCAAGUGUACAGACAAAGUUUAGAGCAAUGGACUUUUGGAUUUGUGAGAUACUAUGGUUAAAGAUAAUUUUAGAAGACUUGAAAAUUAAUGAGAAGAAGCCUAUGAGACUGUAUUGCAAUAACAAGUUGGCAAUAAAUAUUGUGCUUAAUCCAAUAUAAUAUGAUAGAACUAAACAUGUUGAAAUAGAAAACAUUUCAUAAAGGAAAAGUUGGAUAAUGGGACAAUUUGUACACCAUUUGUAUUCUCUGAAAAUCAACUUACAGAUGAUGCACUGACAAAAGGACUAAGCGGUGCCACACUACGGUCUAUUUGUUAACAAGUUGGUGCCACACUACAGUCUAUUUGUUAACAAGUUGGUAAUAGAUGUGUUAGAGAUAUUAUAUUUAGUUUAUAUUUAUCUCAUAUCUUUAGUGUGUUUGUUUAUAUUUCUUAUUUGUAAUUUGAACUUAACCCAUAUUUCUUGUUAGAAGUGGGUUUUAGGCCUAACUCAACCUUACAAAACCGGUUUGUAAAGUGAGGUCUGCACUCCACUUAUAUAUUAUAAAUUGGUCUUAUCUCUAGUCGAUGUGGGAUUUCCAACACACUCCCCUCACGCCGAGGUAUAUAUACAUCUCGAACGUGAGACUAGAUAUUAAUGGGUGGUCCGAUAACGGUCCGAUAGCGGGUGGAACAAUAUGCCCAAAAAAUAUCACUAGGAUAGACUCUAAUCAUAGCUCUGAUACCAAAGAUAUACUAUAACUUAACCACGUAUAUAUUUCAUAGGAUGAUAUCCACUCACCAACUUGAGGUGGAGUGCCAGAAUCCCUCGAAAUAUGUUGGAGAUAAUAUUUGUUCAAAUUUAAUUACAUUCCAUGAUAGGAAUUUAAUUGCAUUCCAUAAUAAAGAGGAUAGGUUGACCAUAUAUAGCUUACAUUUGUUGUACAGGAUAGCCUAAAUUAUAGGGAUAUAUUGUCUAUAGUAAAUUACGGGUUUCCUUAAUUAAGUUUUAAGCAUUCUAUUUAAGGGCUAUUUCUCCUCUUUUGUGAAUAUUAGCAGUAACAAUAUUUUUGACAAAAUUGUAUGAUGUAGGGACCCCAUAUUAUCAAAGUCCCUCUCACUACCCCAUUUCUAUUUAAAAGUACCACUCAUAACUGUUGUAACAACCAUAAACGCUCUUCCUUUAAUUACCUAAUCUCUCUAUCUCUAGAAUAUACUGCUAAGGUCCAUUUGGUUGAGUAGAAAAGUAAAGUGGGUAAAAAUUCUUGAAAAGAGAUUGAAUUUUAUUAUCAUCAUUCAUUUCUAUUACAUUCUCCUUAUACUUGUUUGUAACAAUCUAAUUUUCCAGAAAGGAAAAAAAAAACAAUAUACUAAAAAAUAAACUAGAAGAUUCUACAAAAAAUUUUCUGAUUAGGAAAAUUUUUCAGAUAUUUUCUGAUUAGGAAAAUUUUCUCUGAUUGGGAAGAUUUUUCUCUACUUAAAACAAAAAUAAAAUAAGCGGAUGGAAAUAAGAAAGAAAUAAAGGGAAAAGUAAAGAUAUUUGGUUGAAGGGAAAUAGAAAAGAAAUAAUGAGAUAAAUUGAUAUAUUAAUAGAAAUAUAUGAGAAAUAAAGGGAAAAAGCUCCAGUGAAACACACUAACUUUCUAAUUCUCAUUCCAUUUUCUGUUAUACCAAACAAACCUAAUUUUAUCCAUCCCACCUAUUUCCAGUACCUCCCCUACAGCCAAACCAGCCCUUAAUUUUGGAACCACUUGCUACCUAACUCAUGCAGAAAAGUAUCUUCAUUGGUCAUGAUCGUCCGUAAGAGAAACAAAGGUUCUCCAAACAGGUACAUAGAUACUGGCGUAGUGUGUAUUUUCUUGUAAAGCUACAAGAGUUAUAUCCUUCUUUACCAAGAGCAAUGGAAGUUUAGGCCUAAAAUUUAUUGUGUACAUAAACAAAGAUAAUACAACCAGAUUUUUUUGGGUUAGUCAGUAUGUAUUCUUUGUUGAGAUAAACUUAAAUUUGGGGUUUAUUUGUAUUUUCGUUUCAGUCUUUAUUUUAUUUGGUCUGUGGUCAGUUUUUAUUUAGAUAGUUGAUCCAGUAUUAUUCCAUUCAGUAGAUAUACCCAGUCAGUCUUUAGUUUUAUUUUCAGUUUUAUUUAGUUGCAAUGGUUAUCUUUUGUAAACGGCCCAAGACCCACCUGCACAGCUAUUUAAAAGUCAUUGCAGUUUAAUGGAAAGCACCACAGAAAAUUAACAGUGCUUCUAUUUUUUUUGUGUCAACAAUCUCGACCUGAUUAAGAGAUUUGAAGUUGUCUAUAGCUGUCAACAGAAUCAGCACAGAAGUACGAUUUUAUUUAUUAACUCAUAAAUAUGAUGCUAGCAAACAUGAUAAGCCAAACAAGUUCAGCAAGACCAUUCUAUUGAAGAAUGUUAGGAUAACUAGAUCAGUACUGAAUUCCUAUUAAAGUAAUCGCUGUAGGCAACUAUUAAAGUAUUUUCUUUUAUUUGUCAAAAGGUAUGAAAUAAAUUUUAAAAUAAAUUUGACACAUUACAAUUAUCAAACAUAAAAUAAAUACAACACUUGCAUAACAUCAACCUGAUUUACAUACUAUUGACUGGUAGAUAUCUAUUCAAAAUAACACACAUACAUAUAUAUAUAUAUAUAUAUAUAUAUAUAUAUAUAUAUAUAUAUAUAUAUAUAAACUAAAAAAAAAAAGUAAAGACAGAAAAACACGGCAAACCUGCAGCAUCUAUUGUAUUAUUUAGGCAAUGAGCAAAACCAAUGUGUUUGGAAUACUGUCCGACAGAGUUCCAAGUCAGUCCACUGGCUAAUUCUGACAAGCCGCUUUGCUCAAGUUUAUCAGGGGAACCGUCCGGGGAUAGGGUGGCAUCAACUAUUUCAGGAAUUACUUUCGGAAUGUCAUUUAACAAACGUGAUUGCUCGAACUGUGUCUCAAGCUUCAGCUUUUCAUCUAAGUACUCAGAAAGUGUACGGAAAAUGGUCAAGGAUCAAAGUAUUCAUAGAAAAGAUCAAACUCCAAAACACAGAAUAAGCCAACAUUUAUCAAAAAUCAAAGAAGUAACAACAGCUUUCAGCUUAGUUUAGAACUCCUCUCUCACUUUAAAUCGAUUAUGAGAUAGAUAUGCUUGAUCAAGCAUUAAAACGGAAAACAACUGAAAAUACUUUGACCAUUAACCACAAAUUUGAGGCAACAAUAGAAAAAGUAAAUCAUGAAAGGAUAUUCUCUCCUCCAUCCCUUUUCAUUUGCCCGAUCAAUCAGGUUUUGUAAUAAUACUAACUUCCUUGGGAUCCACUGUCACAUAAAGCAAAUAUAAAGACAAAUAUCAGUAAAAAUAUAUUAUACGCGUGGUGAUCUUUAAUAGUCUAAAGGAAUCAAGUAUUCAAUAAUGUUAACAUGCAAUUAGACGUACCAAACAUAAAGGAUUGAAGUAAUAAUUUAAGGGCAGAUUUUAAAUUUAGUUUGCAUUAUAUGUUUACUGUCUGCUGGCAUGUGCUUCAGCGAGUUUCAUAAUUACCAGAUACUAUCAAUUCUAAUCACUGAAUUUUGGAAAAUAGUAAUUAAUAAGUUAGCCUUUGCUUCUGUUGAAUUUUAUGAUGUAUACCGUCUUUAACUGCUAAGCUACAAGAAAAUCGUAUUCUGAAUUGCAUUUAUCUUUAUAAUCCCAAAUUCAUAAGUACAUACAUACAUGCUUUAUUAUAUCUUCAUGUAGACUUCUAGCUUUCUGCUCAAGAUCCAGCUGUCAACAUAAGGAGGUGGUUGUCAUCUGUUGGUUACAUGAUUGUACUAUGACUAACCAACAAAUUAUAUCAUUCUGCAAAUCAAACUAUAGCACAUAAAACACAUAAAGACCAUUUAAUCAGUAUAGUCCAGACUUACUAAAAUAUAUCUUUAACGGCCUUAGACUUGAAUGGAAGACACAGACAGAUAUGCUGUUGUAAAUCAACACAUAGAUACACGGUCUCUUUACCGAAAAUUAUUGUUUUAUCACUGAUGAACAUGAAAUAGAGAUGACAAAGAUUAAAAAGAUUAGAAAAUUUAAGUCUAAUUUUGUUGAAGUUGAUGAUUCUAUUAUCAAAAUUGAUGAGUGAUGUUUUGGCAUGAAAGACCGGGGUCCUGUCAACUUAAAGAAGUCGUUAAAUUUCAUGCAAGAUAAUUUGGGAUGACAAAUCUUGGAAGUUAAACAAAAUGACUACGAUGACAAUGAUUUAAGCCAAGAAAUUAAAGGAAAACUUUUUGGUAUAAUGACUGCACUCCCGGUUCCUGGAGUUAAAGCUCAACACAUCAAAUCUCAAGGAGUGUGUUAAAGUAAUGAGACUUUUCCCUUACUAGAAUUGAAUAAGUUUUAGAUAGAGAACUUGUUAUUGUUAUAGAUUUUUUCUUUUUUUUUCUUCUGUUUAGUUAAUUAAUUUAAAUUUCAAAUAAAUCUAAUGGUAGGUUACAUAGUUUAAGAAUAUCAAAUUGGUCGUGAGCUUAUAGAGAGACAUUUCUUCCAUUUUUAAUCUUUCUAUUUUGGGAGAUUGAAUUAGACUUUGAGACUAAUAUCUAAAAUGAUGUUCUACCUUAGUUUCUAAAUUACAGUUUACAAUUCAAAAAGCUUAUCGGAAGAAACUACAUUUGAGGAGCUCAAGUAUUCAACGGCAAAGCUAAACUGGGUUACUUGACUGGAGACUCUCCUCAAACAGAAAAGACCAACCCUUUGCUUCAUAAAAUGGAUGUCAGAAAACUCUAUCAUCAUUAUUUGGCUGAUAAAUUAAAUGGAGACAACAAUUUAGAAAUCAUAUUUAAACUCCCCUCCAAAGGCUUCCUUCAUGCAUUACUACUGCUAUUCUAUAACAAAGAUUGGUUCACCAUUUUAUUUGCUGAAAAUUUCAAACAUAACCAACACGGUUUUGCAGCAAGUAUUAAUUAAUAAUUUAUCAUCAAACUCAACAUUUACAGUGCCCUUAAUAAAACUUAAACAGAUCAUUGAGCAAUGAGCACAGUAUUUAUUAUGGUAUGCACUAAAUGACUCAUAAGUCAUACAGCAAACUAACCACGGUAGGCUGUUUGAGCAGACCGUUUCUCAUUCUCUGAUACAGAUCUCGACAUUCCUCCUGCAUAACACCAAAUGUUAUAAUUAUGAAUCCAUGGAAAAUAUAUAUACAAACAACUAGGAUCAGAGUAACGCUGUAGUUAGCAGACAUGAUUUCUGUAAAAAAAAUAAAUUUGGCGAUACAGAUCACAUAUUACAAAAAAUAAAUUCUAACAAAUGUAAACUAUGAUCACGUCAAAAAUCUUCUUAUCAUCCUAGGCAGAAAACUGAUACUGUAUAGCCACCAUCCAACACCAAACAAAAAAAAAAAAGGUUAAGAAAACAAGCAUACAAUUCUACUUUGAAAUUUAUUGAAUAAUUGAAAAACUAGGAAUAAGACUAAUCUCUCUUGUGUAACUAUAUUUAUAAUAAAGAAACUUCAGACUAAGCCUAAAAUACAAAUAAUGAUAGAAAAUAAAUAAUAACAUAGAAUAAGAAGAUAGAAGAUAAAAGAUAAGAUAUCUAAGAUAUUCAUGAUAUGUAUAACUCUCCUUAUGGUUGGUGCAUAUAAAUUGUAUAUAUUAAGUUUUUUAUAAAUAUAAUCAAUUCUCAGUCUUAGUAAAAACUUAGUAAAAAUAUUUGUUAACUAAUAAUCACUUGAGUUAACAAACUCAUUCUUGAUGUUUCUAGAUACAAUUUUCUCUCAAAUAAAAUGAUAGUCAAUCUCAAUAUGUUUGGACCUCUCAUGAAGAUAGGAAUAAAACUAAUAUGAAGAGCAGCUAGAUUGUUACAAAUGAGUAUCAUUUGAGUGACAUCCAAAUUGUAACUCUCUAAGCAAUUGUUUAAGCCAAACAAGUUCACAAUGCAAAAGAUCUUGCCACAACACUUUAUUUCUUCCAAGAGACCAAGUUACCACCAAUAAAGACACAAUAUCUGGAAGUAGAUCUUACAUCAAAAGGAAAUCCUACCUGAUCAGGAUAUGAAUAACAAAUAACUCUUUAUGGUUAUUGGAACCAUAUAACAAACCUUUUCCAAUAGAUCCUUUAAUGUACUUUAUUAGACAGAUGACUGCAUUCCAAUGAUCUUCACAUGAAAAAUUGAGAAAAUGGCUCACCACACAAAGGAAAUGUUAGUUUCCUCCAAAAUAUCCAAUGCAUACUUCCUUUCAGAUAUAACAAUACCAUUUUUGGAUUGUGCUACUUCAAUACCCAAGAAAUAUUUAAGUUUGUCAAGAUGGUAAAAGAUUUGUGAAGACAACAUAUCAAUCUAGAAGAUUUUCCCUAAGCAACAAAUCCUGGAAGUUGUUCUAUAUAAAUCUUUUUCUGCAAAUCUUCAUCGAGGAAAGCAUUUUUGACAUAUAGUUGAUAAAAUGAUCAUUAUUGAAGAGCAGUCAUGGCUACAAAAAAAAAUAAAAUCCAUCUUUGCUACUGAAGAAAAAAUAUCACCAUAAUCAAAACCUAAAAUUUGUGUAAGAUUUGGCCACAAGACAAGCUUUGAGGCAAUCAAUAGUAUUCAUCAAAACCAACUUUGAUAAGAAAAGCCCAUCUGCAACCAACAAUAGAUUUACGGUAAUACGACAAACUCUCAAGUUUCAUUAUUUUGAAGAGUACUUAGUUCAUCUAGCAUGACCUAAUACCAACUAGGAUGGGCUAAAACAUCACUGACAGAUUUAGAAACGGACACAAGAAAUAAAUGAAAGAUAGUUAUAAAAAGGUGAAGAUAAUCUAUGGCAACUCAAAGCAAUAUAAUGUGGAGAAGGAUUACGAUAAAAUGUGUACAUUUACGAAGGAUAAUUGGAACAUAUAUUAUGUUAAGAAAUGAACUUUAAGCCUAACUCAAUCUUACAAAUCUGACUUAUGAGUAAAGUUUGCACCUACUUAUAUAUUGUGAAUUGACUUUACCUCUAAUCGAGGUGGAACUUUCAAUACACUCUCUUACGCCGAGAUAUAUACAUCUCAUGCGUGAGACUAGACAUUAAUGAAUGGUCUGAUAACGAGUGAAACAAUAUGUCAUCAAAGAACAAAUCUCACUAGGAUAAGUUCUAACCUAUGACUUUCAUACCAUAUUGAAUACUAGAAAAACUAGGUAUAGGAUUAAUCUUCCUUGUGUAGAAAAGACACAUAGGGUAUUAUAUUCAUAAUAAAAAAAAAUAUGGUCUAAGCACAAAAUACAAAUAAUAAUAGAAAAAAAUAGAAGAUAAAAUAUAAGAUAUCUAAAAUAUUUAAGAUAUCUAACAAAAUUGUUGCUAAGUUCCAGUACCUAUAAGGACGUGAGAAAUUAGAGAAAAAUAUUAUUACCAUAGCAUUCAUACCUCAGAAAAGUCAUCAUCUGAAAUUUUGGAGAUAGGUACACUUUUCGGCACAUUAGAAAGUUGAAGCAUAAUUUCCUUGUUGAUUUCAUCAUUGUUUAAAGAUCUGUUUAUUCCUGUAAUUUUGCAGAUAUAGAUUGUCAACUAUGCAUGUAAGAGAAGAAUGAUAGCUAGUACAACAACAUCAGGCAUGUUGACCUUCCACAGCAAUGUACUGCGCCUAAAAAAAGAACAACGUACAAUAUGCUUAAGAUUUUAUAUUUCAUUUAUAUUUUGUAGAUAUGCGUUUUGAAUCCAAUGUAUAACUCCGGAUCUUUUUCUUCCAAUACAAGAAAAAUAGAAUCAAAAUUAUAUGCAUGGUC